RNAcentral lists this ribosomal RNA (793 nucleotides) under Pediococcus pentosaceus. Its description in RNAcentral is "bacterial SSU rRNA". It matches the Rfam family "Bacterial small subunit ribosomal RNA", at positions 63 to 826 of the family's 1533-position model. The record is from RNAcentral. Lineage: Bacteria; Bacillati; Bacillota; Bacilli; Lactobacillales; Lactobacillaceae.
CGUACUUGUACUGAUUGAGAUUUUAACACGAAGUGAGUGGCGAACGGGUGAGUAACACGUGGGUAACCUGCCCAGAAGUAGGGGAUAACACCUGGAAACAGAUGCUAAUACCGUAUAACAGAGAAAACCGCAUGGUUUUCUUUUAAAAGAUGGCUCUGCUAUCACUUCUGGAUGGACCCGCGGCGUAUUAGCUAGUUGGUGAGGUAAAGGCUCACCAAGGCAGUGAUACGUAGCCGACCUGAGAGGGUAAUCGGCCACAUUGGGACUGAGACACGGCCCAGACUCCUACGGGAGGCAGCAGUAGGGAAUCUUCCACAAUGGACGCAAGUCUGAUGGAGCAACGCCGCGUGAGUGAAGAAGGGUUUCGGCUCGUAAAGCUCUGUUGUUAAAGAAGAACGUGGGUAAGAGUAACUGUUUACCCAGUGACGGUAUUUAACCAGAAAGCCACGGCUAACUACGUGCCAGCAGCCGCGGUAAUACGUAGGUGGCAAGCGUUAUCCGGAUUUAUUGGGCGUAAAGCGAGCGCAGGCGGUCUUUUAAGUCUAAUGUGAAAGCCUUCGGCUCAACCGAAGAAGUGCAUUGGAAACUGGGAGACUUGAGUGCAGAAGAGGACAGUGGAACUCCAUGUGUAGCGGUGAAAUGCGUAGAUAUAUGGAAGAACACCAGUGGGCGAAGGCGGCUGUCUGGUCUGCAACUGACGCCUAAGGCUCGAAAAGCAUGGGGUAGCGGAACAGGGAUUAAAAUACCCCUGGGUAGUCCCAUGCCCGUAAACGAAAUGAUAACUAAAUUGUUG